UCUGCUUCUCCCAAUACUUGUGUACUCAGCUGCUGCAAUUGCAAUUGCCUGUUGGACCAAGAGGCCACACGUACAGAACUCCAUGUUGCACUCUACAGCAGUUCCCAGCAAUGUGUGAGAAAGUCUGCCUCCCCACAUCUCAGCCAGACAGCGUUCUCUUUUGAUCUCCACCAUUCUAAGCGAGCCUGGUGAAGAAAUAUCUGGUCAGAGGGACAGCAAGAACAAAAGCUCUGCCUUCAGAAAUGAAGUCGGUGUACAGGGGAAACCGUGAGAUGGGUAUUUCGCAUAGGUGAAUGAUCUUACCACUUUAAUGGUUAGCCACUGCAACUGCAAAACGUGCUUCGAGUGCCUGCUUUGUGGAGAUGUGGAAGAGCACAAAUAGGAUAUUGCAUGUAAAGCAAUCCAGUGAUCCACACAUUCUACACAGCUGCUCAGACAGCAGCGGCUGGCAUUAUUAAACUAUCAAACCAUUCCAGCUCAGAAAGAAAUGACUUCUGCCACUUGGUUCACCAUCUGAGAAACAUUAAAUAUCAUUAACGGAUUCUGUGAACAGAAUACAAGAAUGAUCCCUUCCUUCAAGCAAGAAAUAUCACAGGAGAACUGAAAAACUUCCAGAUGAGUCUUCCCAGCCUCAGUGCAGGAAAGGAAUAUCAAGAUCGAACAAAUCCUCUAUGUCAACAACAAGGAAGAGAACGCUGACACAUCUGAAGACAACCAGAAGUGCACUUGAGUCAUCCAGUGUCUCUGCUAUUUACAGAAGAAAAUGAACUCUGCUAGAAGACUAAAUCUGAAGCAUAUAGGGAAAAGAUAAUAAUUAAGCCAGGUUUGAGUCCACUCCUAUCUGCUCCCUGAAUUGUAAUUUUGAAAAAAGAAAUUUCUCAAUAGUUUUUCAUUAUACUGAUAUUUGAAUACUCGACAGCAUCACUGGAGGAAAGCAGAGACAGAUAACCCUUGGCUGUAAGGAAUACAGUUGACAGUUUGGUUCUAUCCUUGGCAGGAUGACCCUAGCAUUUCUGUUGCAAACCAAGAUUUUUUUUUUCAAGAAUAAAUGCUACAUUACAUCACACACCAAGGCAACAGGCAUAAACUGGGACUGUUCUAGGCAAGCCUAGAUAUACACUCAUCUUAUUUUGAGAGGUCCUAGGAGAACCUACCAGAUAGGACCCUAAGACCCUGGCUUUGCUUUGUAAUACUUCUUUUUAUGGGAACAUAGAUAACUAAUUGUCUUGAUCAUUAUUCUUUACCAAGGUAUGCCACAGUAACUGUCUGCUUUUCUGAAAGCCAGAUUUUAUAGUUCACAGAAGUACUAAAAUAAACAUAAGCAGAACUUAAAACUUAAAUUCUUAGGAUUGGGGCACCUGGGUGGUGCAGUCGGUUAAGCGUCUGACUCUUGAUUUCAG
Long non-coding RNA from Neogale vison (American mink), 1400 nucleotides. RefSeq lists it as uncharacterized. The transcript is spliced from 6 exons. Lineage: Eukaryota; Metazoa; Chordata; Mammalia; Carnivora; Mustelidae. The record is from RefSeq and is a predicted model, not a curated record.